This 1975-nucleotide long non-coding RNA is filed under the name Oryctolagus cuniculus (rabbit). RNAcentral's name for it is "lncRNA (ENSOCUG00000030898.1)". Lineage: Eukaryota; Metazoa; Chordata; Mammalia; Lagomorpha; Leporidae. The record is from RNAcentral.
AUGAGUGACACUUCAGUUUUGCAUCUUGUAAAACAAGAUGUCAAAGUAGGAAGUUUCCCAUCAAUUAUCUAUAAUUAUUCAGAAACUUUUGACUUAUCCAAAGAUCCCUAUCCAGAAAUGAAAACAUGUUACGUCACAGAGCUCAUUAGUGGCAGAAGACUUAAUUCAAUUCAAGUUUUCUCUAUAAUACCACAUCGCAUCUUUGUAUGUUUUCCUUUCUAUAAAUAUGUACAUGUCUUUAUUAAAUUUUUACAUAAUUUAAAAUUUUCCCUUACAGAGGAAUUCAUAAAUGUGAUUAUCACUUAUUCUAAUCCUAUUCCCUUUAUUUCCUCAUUUGAACAGCCAGCCGUUUGGACCUCAAGACAGAAUGAAUUAAAAAUCCAAUAGACUUUCUAGUCCAAGCUGCCAUUCUUGGUCACCAGAAUGGCAGAAUGAAGAAACUCAAAUACAUCCAAAGGUGAGUGCAAGAAGAAAAGCCACAAUGGACAUUCCUCAGCCAGGGGGGUGAGGCUUGAAGAACCACAACAGCCUGCACUGGGCCUGCAGCUGCUGGCAAAGACAAGGAGUACUGGGCCAAGACUGCUGAGUAACUGAUUCAGAUACCGAGCCUUCUGCUGAGUCUGCUGGCACUCACCAUCUUCAAAGGACCACCACCCCAUACAUCCCUUUGAAGAACUUGCUGUACUCAGGACAAAAUAUCAAAAUUCUUGCUGUUUAAUUUUCAUAGGAAGCCAAGACACUGAUAAAUGAGAGCUCAUCUAUACAUGUUUUUACCCUGUUACCUAAGAAACUAUCUUCAAAACAGAAGUCCUCAUAAAUACUCUGGAGAUGCUUCAGACACUCUCCGGUGCUGUGCGACACUGUGUAUAUUGUUUGGCAGGAGUUCAUGGGGGAAGAUAAACUAGCACAUUUUGCCAGGAUUCUAUUACUCUUGACCUUGACCUUGGCUCGGGGCUGUUUCCAGUUAUACUCCAUCUUAGAGAAAGACAGCGCCUAAUCUUCCCUUGAGUUUCCUUCUUCCCUUCCUCUUUCAGUUGCACCGAGCCCAGUACUCGCUGUGCUGCCUCAUGGGAGGGAAGAAACUGGUGCUGGCUGCAGCUCUCCAACAUUGGGUUUUUCUUUUGAAUGCAAAAGCUCAAUCGAGACCAUGAAAUCCUCUCUUUUAGGCAAAGGAGAUUCACUCUCAACAAGUAUUUGAUUUUUGCACAGUCUUGCUCACUAGUAUUCUGCCUCUUAAUUGUUGACCUAAUUCAUCAGUUCCCACUCUGCAACAUGGAGUAGCUCAGUUCCCCACACAUGGUCUAGAAGCGGGUGUAUUCCAUCUCUUACUCCCAACAGCUUAGGCUAGACUCACCACACAUAUUCUCCAGGGGAAAAAAUGUAACCUAUCAAGCUGGUAUCCUUAACUACAAAGCCUGUACAUUCUACCAGGGGUGGGUGGGAAUCGUUUUUUCUGGCAAGGACCAUUUGGAUAUUUAUAACAUCACUAGAGAGCCAUACAAAAUUAUCAGCUUAAAAAUUAGCCUGCUAUAGAUUUAUUGAAUUUCAGGUUCCAACUGCUGUUGCCUUGGCAGGACCAGGGAAAAUACUUUUGCAGGACUGUAUAAGUUACUUUUUACAGGCCAGCGCCGUGGCUCACUAGGCUAAUCCUCCGCCUUGCGGUGCCCCCACACCGGGUUCUAGUCCCGGUUGGGGCGCCAGAUUCUGUCCCAGUUGCCCCUCUUCCAGGACAGCUCUCUGCUGUGGCCAGGGAGUGCAGUGGAGGAUGGCCCAAGUACUUGGGCCCUGCACCCCAUGGGACACCAGGACAAGUACCUGGCUCCUGCCAUCGGAUCAGCGCGGUGCGCUAGCCACAGCGCGCCGGCUGCGGCGGCCAUUGGAGGGUGAACCAACGGCAAAGGAAGACCUCGUCUGUCUCUCUCUCUCACUCACCGUCCACUCUGCCUGUAAAUAAAUAAAUAAGUUACUUUUUACA